RNAcentral lists this ribosomal RNA (335 nucleotides) under uncultured bacterium. RNAcentral describes it as "partial 16S ribosomal RNA". It matches the Rfam family "Bacterial small subunit ribosomal RNA", at positions 338 to 666 of the family's 1533-position model. The record is from RNAcentral.
CCUACGGGAGGCAGCAGUGGGGAAUCUUCCGCAAUGGGCGAAAGCCUGACGGAGCAACGCCGCGUGAUCGAAUGAAGGCCUUCGGGUUGUAAAGUUCUGUUGUCAGGGACGAAUAUGCAAUGCGAAUAGUUUUGUGUAUGACGGUACCUGAUUAGAAAGCUCCGGCUAACUACGUGCCAGCAGCCGCGGCAAUACGUAGGGAGCAUGCGUUGUCCGGAAUUACUGGGCGUAAAGGGCGCGUAGGUUGUCGCUUAAGUCAGGUGUGAAAACUCCGUGCUCAACCUGGGGACUGUACUUGAUACUGGAGGUCUAGAGGGCGGAAGAGGAAAGCGGAA